AUAAUAUGGUACAUGCAUUACAAGAAACAAAAAAAUGAGGAUCAUGAAAAUGGAUUCCCGUUGGCUCCGUGUGUGUGUUCUAGUCCUCCUAAUCCAGGUAGUUGUUUCCCAUGAGACAACUAAGCCACCGACUGACUUCUUUCUGUGGUAUGGAAGACACUAUCCUCACAUUCCAUACUUUCCCCAACCUUAUCCGUGGUUUGCCCGUUCUCCUCGCUCAUCGCCUCCGUCUUUUAUAAAUCCAUUUCCUCCAACUCCAAAUGCAUAUUGGUUCUACAAAAACCCUUUUGCUCCCAAAGCUCCAUCUCCUAUGCAAGCGCCAUGAUUGUAACGACCCGCUAAGCCGAUAUUUUAUUAUUAGCUUGAUUAUCUAUAUAAGUAACUUUUAUGCGAUUAAAUCCAAGCUACUAUAGAUUGUCGUCGUUAUUUGUUUUGACGAUAGACAAGUGAAUAGAAUCCACAAAUAUAUAUAAUACACCUAUAUGAAUAUAAUAAAUUUAAAUGAAUAAAUAAAUAAGAUCCUAAAAUUCAAAAUCUUGAUGUCCGAUACAUCCAACAAAAGUCCAACAAAAUUUAAUACAUCCUGCGUUUUAAGAAAAUCGGGUACUUCAACGAGGACAGCCUCGAACUUGAACCGAUUAUACCUACACCAAUUAAAUAAACAAGUGAACAAAUACUCAAAUAAUUACAUUAAUAAAAAAAAGAGGGCAGAUCAUAGAGGAUCGAUCUUUUCGGACACUGCAUUAAAUGCUGCAUUAAUAGAUUGCAGUAGAAGCCAUCUUUCUCUGACAAAAUAUUUGAAGGAUACGCCACUUGCCAUCUAUUAUGUAUAGAUACAUUUAUGCAAAUAAUUUUCUUUAACUCACACAUUAUAUCAAAUAAAAUAUAAGGAUAUUGCAAGUGGGUAGUAUGCAUUUAAUGCAUAUCAUCUUUGCAUAUCUCAUAACAAGAUUUGUUAAGGAGAUUGAGGGGGUAGAUUAUGCCAAGUAAACAAGUAAGAUAUCAAAUCUGUGCAAGAGAUCAAAACCGUAUCAAAAUAGGAGAUUUUUAUAUCAUAGCUUGCAACUUGUCCAAGGAUGACAACUAUAUAUAACCCCAAAGUCUUUACAAGUAUCGAACACCCAAACUUCUCUUCACACACACCAACAAAUUGAAUGGGAGAACAAGAAUCAGGGACGGGGGAGUAUUUCAGAUGAUUAUAGGAUCAUACUCUACAAUCCAACAACACUUUACUUUGUUCCCACAUCAAAAGGCUAUCUCUGCAAGUAAGGUCGGAGUAAGAGAUUCAAGUAAGGAAAGUAAGCGAUCAAGGAGAUCAAAACCGUAUCAAAAUAGGAGAUUUUUAUAUCAUAGCUUGCAACUUGUCCAAGGAUGACAACUAUAUAUAACCCCAAAGUCUUUACAAGUAUCGAACACCCAACCUUCUCUUCACACACACCAACAAAUCGAAUGGGAGAACAAGAAUCAAGGACGGGGGAGUAUUUCAGAUGAUUAUAGGAUCAUACUCUACAAUCCAACAACACUUUACUUUGUUCCCACAUCAAAAGGCUAUCUCUGCAAGUAAGGUCGGAGUAAGAGAUUCAAGUAAGGAAAGUAAGCGAUCAAGGUUGAGCAGCAAAGUGGUGGAGGAAGUGCUAUUGAGACAAGACAUUUAAUUCAGUCAGAUUUUGAC
This is a long non-coding RNA of Salvia splendens (bonfire salvia), 1672 nucleotides long. RefSeq lists it as uncharacterized. The transcript has 5 exons. The record is from RefSeq and is a predicted model, not a curated record. NCBI's taxonomy places the organism in Eukaryota, Viridiplantae, Streptophyta, Magnoliopsida, Lamiales, Lamiaceae.